UACGUAGGGGGCAAGCGUUGUCCGGAAUCAUUGGGCGUAAAGCGCGUGUAGGCGGUUCGGUAAGUCUGCUGUGAAAGUCCAGGGCUCAACCCUGGGAUGCCGGUGGAUACUGUCGGACUAGAGUACGGAAGAGGCGAGUGGAAUUCCCGGUGUAGCGGUGAAAUGCGCAGAUAUCGGGAGGAACACCAAUUGCGAAGGCAGCUCGCUGGGACGUCACUGACGCUGAGACGCGAA
RNAcentral lists this ribosomal RNA (234 nucleotides) under uncultured bacterium. RNAcentral's name for it is "partial 16S ribosomal RNA". It matches the Rfam family "Bacterial small subunit ribosomal RNA", at positions 524 to 757 of the family's 1533-position model. The record is from RNAcentral.